ACAAUUACUAGAUUUCUUCUAUGCACAGCUUAGCCACACGUUAUGGAUAACUCAGGAAGAAUGUGCUAAAAGUUCAAAAUAUUUUUGUUCCAGCAAUCAAACCUGGAGCCCCUGCCACAAAACUUUUGUUUCCGCUAACCGAUCCGCAUGCCGUCAUUCAACUGGAGGAUUUUGUUCGGAUAGAUCCUAACAUGAGACGCAAAUAUAUUAAAUUUCUGCGCCGCAUCAAAACACCACGACAAAGCCUUGAAGAUACGUUUGGUAAAAUCUGCACCGAUCAAGCCAUCUUCCGUCAUUUUAACUGGACGUCCAACAAGUCCUCCCAAUCUAUGACGCAGCGAGAAACACUGCAGCAUUAUUGGAUAUUCACAGAUUGUUUGUUUGAAGCUUGGAGCAGUCACGGAUUUACCAUGGAAACGUUGAAAUCAAAAAUGGCAAGCGUUAUCAAACGCAUCUAUGUUCGCAACAACGUGCGCAAUUUUCGAGCUAGGUCUAAGAUUGUAGAGCUUUGAAGAUUUCUAGGAUAUGAAUAAAUGUAGAAAAACGAUAUUUCCACUUUUGAAACUAAUUCUGAGACUUGCUUAUCAUUAAUCAUUCUAGAAAGUAACUUUUUGCUUAAUUUCAUGGCAUGGAAUCAGCUGAACCGCCCCAGAGAAUUUCACAUCUUGGAGUUACAUCGCAUUCCGCUGCUGGGUUCAACUUUCCUAUACGAUCGGAACAAGCAAUAGAGAAGCUCGAAUCUUCCGUUCGAUGUAACGAAAAAUCCAGGAAGCAAUAUAUUAAGUUCCUACGCUCGAAACUGACCGACGAUCAAAGCGUUUUCACCGUGUUUCAACACAUCUUUACCUACCAAUCUCUGGUCGGAUACUGCUGGACGAAGCGUUCCAACUUGGAAAGAAAAUCCAUGAGAGAUUAUGAAAUCUUCACUAGUUGCAUGUUGGAUGCCUGGCAGUGCAAGGGUGUAACGGAGCAAUCCCUAGCCGAGCACAUCCGUCACGUGAUCAGAAACGUAAAUAUUUCAAAACGGAAGUUGAAAAUUCGACUAAGGAAACGAUAUUCUAGUACUUCAUUUAGUAAUUGAACCAGUACUGUUUAUUUGGAAGUGUUGGAGAAGCCAAACAAUAAAUGAUCCUUUCAAAAUAAUUUCCAACGAAGAGAUUGUCAUUGAGAUGCUUUUCAAAUUCUAGCACUACGUUUAAACCAACAAUUUCGAUUUCUUUUGUAUAUUCUCUAGCCAAAAAUGUCGCCAAGUUGCGGAAUCGGUUGCAAAGUCUCAACAAAAUGAUCAGCAUGGCGUCGAGUCGAAACGAAAAGAUGCAACUGGAGGUUCAAAUCUGUGACGUCAACAAGGAACUGCAGGAGUUACUUAAAACUGCCGAGCAGCAGAAGCAGCGUGCCACCGCCCAUGUUGAUGGUUUCCAUUUUCCGUUAAGUUCCAUGGUCGAAAUCGAACGAUUGGAGGAAGCCGUUCGGAAGGAUUUCGAUGUGAGGAAGCAAUAUGUACGCUACCUGUCGCUCAAGAAGCCCCCAACGAUGGACGUAACUAACUUUUUCUCGUAUCUCUUCACCGACGAUGCUCUGAUGGGCUACAACUACUCCGGAACCAACAACAUUGGCGAUUCGAAGAUGCCAAUGAGGAACUAUGAAAUUUUCAUCGAUUGUAUGAUAGAAGCAUGGGCUGAUCAUGGAUUGACGCACAUACUGCUCGAGGAGAAGAUCAAACUUGUGGUGAGAAAGCUUACCGCUCGACGUCGCAUGCAGAAGUUUCGGCAGAGAAAAUCAAUGAAAGUUUGAAGCUUGUUAAAUAAACUUGAAAUAUUUAAAGAACUUUGUAUAUUUUUUUAUUGACUUUAAAUUAAAAUUAAUGUAUGGUAAAUGACUACUAUUUUUCACUAUGGAUUUCAGAUCCCCUAAAACCACGAAAAAAGGUAUUCAUGAGGACGGUAGAACUGGAUGAGUGUGCUGCGGCAGAUGAUGAACAGCGCUAUAUGUUCAUCGUGAGUCGAAAGGGAGGUAUUUUGUUGGUGCACGAAAACCACAUCUAUCGAUCCAAUAUGCGUCGUCAGGGUCCCCACAAGAAUAUACUGUACUGGGAGUGUGUACACAAUCGUUCGCAGAAGUGCCGUGGGCGACUCAAGAGCGAAGGGAAUUUCCUGUUCAUUUCGAACACCAAUGCCACGCACAAUCAUCCGUCAGAUUUGAAUCGAAUCAACCGAUCUAAGGUCGGAGGAGAGCUGACAUACCGCACAUUCUUUUCACUUUUCAAAUAACAUGUUUCAUUGAUGAUAAGAAAUUGUUUUCAAUUAUUUUGCAAUAUAUAAUGUCGAUGAAUCUAGUACUAUACCAUCCAUACUAAUUUUCGAUAUCGUUGACAUGUUUUCAUCGUUUCAUUCUAGUACUGCACAUGCUUGUUGUUCACCGUUGGUGGCAAUCUCUGAGCAAUGAUGAAAUUACUCUCAUCAUGAAGCAAUACAUAAUGUCGAAUCAUCUAGUACAGAGUAAUUCACACUAUUCCUAGAUAUGGUUGAAAUAUUUUCAUCUUUUAUUCUAGUACUGCACAUACUUGUUAAUCACAAUUAGUGGGAAUCUUUGAGUCGUUCAUCUAUGAUUAAACUCAAUCCAACUAAUUUUGCUAACAUUUUGCAACUACAAUUUCAGUUCAGAAAACGUCUCCGACAUGCGAUGCCCCGCAGUAUGUCAUUAGCAAGUGUGGAACCGUUCAGCUUCGGCACAAUGGUCAUCUUUUCAAUCGACACGUCAAACGAGACAAUAUCACAUACUGGCGCUGCUCGCAGUUUACCGUGUACAAGUGUCGCGCUCGGAUUAAAUCCGUUCUCGAAGAGUUUUUCAUGUUGAACGUGGAACAUAACCACCAGGUAGUGGCCUCACCCAGAGCGUACGGAUCUUUGAAGCGACUGAAACAACAACUUGCAAAAUAUUAAUAAACUACACAUGUCUUUGGAAGUCAAUCUAGUACUUCACUUUAUUAAAUUUAGGAAUUCUCGUACACCAAGUUUUGCAUUGAUCUAAUGAUUCCAAUCCACAUUUCAGAUUUCUAUGUCCGGUACGUUUUUCCGGAUUUCAAGGAAGUCGCAAGCUAAAAGUAGGAGAGUUCAGCUAUACCAAAAACAAGGAAAGUGCAAACAAAACGUACUGGUCUUGUGCGAGGGCAGGCAUGAGCAAAUGUAAAGCACGGGUUCUAACCUACACACUGAGAAACGGGGAAGAAAACUUGGUGGUUCGGUAUGCAACACGCAAUCAUGAACCAUUCUAGUACUGCAAUCUUAUAUGAUACUUUGUAAAUAAAACAUUAAUGAGUUGGUGGAAACUGUGGUGGACUUUUCCUCUAUGCCCUAUAUUUGCAUUACGUUGAAGCAUAACUAAUCAGUUAAUUUGGAUUCCAUUUUAGUGUUUAAAAUUGUUAACAUUGAAGAAAUGGAAGAUGAUCAACCCAAGGAAAUAUACUUCACCGUCGGGCAGCGUGGUUGCGUUUUGCUGCACGUUGAUGGCUAUAAAUUCGUGAAGAAUCGUAAGGGGGCAUACAAAACCUAUUGGAUCUGCGCUAAAAAGGGAAGUACAGCCUGCAAAGCUAGAGUCAUCACCCCGGCAAACAGUGAGGAGAAAAAGGUUCCCACGCUGAUAGCCCGCAGCGGAACACAUAAUCACCCUGUAUUCGUAGAGCGAAAAUCCCGCAGUUCUGCUACACAUAGGAUUUUACUUUUCGAAGACCCAUAGUUAAAUAAAUUUAUCUCAACUGAAACUUUGUGCAUCGUGCAUUCGUUUUGAAUCCGUUUUGAGUGUCGUUUUUGCAUUAGUUUUGGACUAACGGAUUUCUAUUUUCCUUUAUAGAUGGCAACGACGUUGACCAGAUUUACUUCAUUGCAGAGAUCAUCGGUUCUGCAGAGGGAAUGAAAACUGUGAAAAUACCCGCAAAGAAGCAAUGUAGAUCCAAAUCCGCAACGAUGCCUUCGGCAAACAAUGAAAUGUUCAAUUUUGAAAGCGAUGGUUCACCUUCGAAGCCCACCUACACAACUGGCCGGGGAAAUAACGUUCUGAACUAUCAGGGCCAACGCUACAUCAAGAACAAUGCGCACAGCGGGAAAAUUUACUGGAAGUGUACCAAAUGGCACAGUGGGUGCAAAGGACGUGCCAUUACCAACGUGCUGAUUCCGGGCUUGGUUGUUCUGAAGAAUACGCACAACCACGAACCAUCGUAAUUUCAUCAACGGCGGUUUUUGAUUUGAGGCCAAAUAAAAUGAUUUUCAAGCAAUAUUUGUUUAGUUAUCUUGAGUUCAUAAGUUUCCGCAAUACCAAUGGUUGAGAAGUCAGUUUCUUUGUGAACUUUAAAGUUUCUUGAGAACCUCUUGUUGAAAUUUCUGAAAAAAUCGCCGCAAACUUCAAACACAGUUUCAAUGAUCUUUUAAUUUAUUGUUUAAAACUAGUACUACGUGAAACAGUGAUGAAUCGUCAUGUAGCAAAAAAUCACCCCAGUAAAAUAGUGAUAGUUUGCGCUGCAAUCGUUUUAUGAGUUUCCAUUUCACGUAGUCUCUAAUGCUUAUCCAAUCUAGUACUACGUCGAAUAAAGCAUCAACUCUUAUACAGUUUAGCGCCCUUUCAUACCAACUUUAUGCACUAGUUCCAAUCGCAACCACUUCUUGCAUCGCCUAAUUUUAGCCGUGAAACAUCCAGUCAAAACGAUUGCUACUUGGUUGUGGAUAACGGAAUAACAACAUGCAGUACUGGAAGCGCAAUUAGUAUUACAAAUGCAAGCUUAGUUGUGAUCGACGAAAUCAAUCUAUCACCAUGAGACGUCAUCGGGCGUCAUCGGAGGCAGUAGUAGUAGUAGUAGUAGUAAUUAACUGGCCCACGGUACCACGACAGGUGAAAUUCCUUAACAAUACCUUCCUCAGAAGAAGCAGCAGACCAUUGGCUGUCACAGGAUUCUUCGAACAAUCUGUACAUCCAGAUCAUGAUCAAACAAGAGAUAAUAAAACUGUUGUUUUGAGCUUUUAUUGUUCGUUAAGUUUGUAAUACAUGAUUACUCUAGUACUUAACAGUAAUUCCUUCAAAACAUGACGUUCUAUCAUUUUCCACAGAAUCCUUCGCCAGGAGGGAGAUUUAUGAACGGUUUAUGCUUCCGAAAGCCGGAAUGGAAGUGGCCCGGUUCGGGAUCAGCCAACGAGGAGCGAAGAAACUGAUCUGCCAUGGAUACGAGUACGUCAAGGAUCGAGACUUUCCGGAUUCGACCAAUUGGCGCUGUGCUUUGUUCCGCCGGCAGAAGUGCCGCGCCCGUGCCAUAACCAAAAUCAUUGACGGUAUCACCUACGUAAGGCUUACGAACGAUGCCCACAGCCACGAUGUCCGGAUGUACCGGAGGCAUCCAGUGAUUAUUACGAAAGCGGACGAAAUGGAGUCUGCAUAAGAAAGAAAGUAGUUUUUUUGUUGAAUUAUUGUGAGAAAAAUAUACGUAUAUCAGAAUGGGUUCAUUGUCCUGUUUAAGCUAUGUUUCCUUUAGUAGUUCCAAUGACAUACUAGAUCAUUACUGCACUAAUACAAACUAUUCGCAUUUUUAGGUGUUUUCGAACCGGCUGUAUUCGGAACUACUCGUCGUGGUCAACAGAAACUAAUACACAAUGGGCAUGCGUACACCAAGGAUCGACAGUCGGCGAAGACUUGCAACUGGAAAUGUUCCCUCUUUACGCGGUACAAGUGUAAGGCUCGUGCCGUUACGAGGGACAUCAAUGGUGUGGUGUACGUGAAAGUCACCAACACGUUACACUACCACCCGGUGGAGCAGUACAAGAUCAACUACCGAAAGGGGUUGGGCGUUAAUCCAAUGAGUUUGGCGAACACUUUUAUCCCGCAUGUCAAGGAUGAGUCGUUUUGAGAUGUGCAAGUAUCGGUUAUAAGUAAGAGUAGGGUUUCUCGUCGCAAAUAAAUUAUGUGUUUUAGUGUUAUUUUAGGACUUCAGUAGAUAUAUUCGCCCUAAUGAAACACUCUGUAAGAUGACCUCCGAUGACCAAUUUUUAUUUACUAGGAGCAGAAAUGAUUCUAUUUCAGUUCUAGUACGUCAUUUUCAUUUACUAAACUAUUAUGUACUUUUAGAUGACAAAGCUGUUUUCACCGAACGAGCCCAGUACGAGUACACCUCCCGAGGAACGCAGCGCUUGCUUCAUGGCGAAUAUUACUUCAGCAAAAACAAAACCAACGAAUCGAGCGGACGGGUGAACUGGAAGUGCCAAUUUUACCAACGGCUGCGCUGCAAAGCAAGGGCCAUUACGAAAAACAUCAACGGAUACGAAUACGUGCGCGUCACCCACGAAGAGCACACCCAUCGCAAGGAUCUCACCGAGGAUGAGUUCCGUCGUCCCAAACGGAAAAGAGAUUUCUGAGUUAGGAAGUUUGGGAAAGUAACUGCGACACAACCAUUUGAUGUAGAAUUGCAUGCCAAUGAGUUUUAAUAAAAACUUAUUUAUUUUUCAUUGUAUGAAAUUACGAUUAGUAAUUCUAGUACCUCGUUUUUAGUAAUAGCCUAAUAGUUUAGAACGACCUCAUCAAAUUAUUAUUUUCUUGUUCACUGUGGAGUAACUUGAGCUAUUACCAAUUUAAAUUUAUUUUCAGGCUGUUUCAGCUUAAAAAAAAAAGAAAUGCAUCGAAGCGAUUGUGUAAAUCUAGUACUUCAAUAGAAAAAAAAAAACUUAUAACGGCCGAAAGAACCCAUUUGCUCAAAAGAAGAUGACAUUCUAAGCCAUAUUUUAUCAUAUUUACAUAGCUCUAACCUAUUCAUAUUUUUCCAUCCAACCUAUCCCAAACAGUUAAACUGAAAAUUGUUCAAUAUUCGACACGCAAAUCGGACGAGCACUACGACGAUGAUGAUGAAGACGGCGACGGUGAGGAUGAUGAAGCAAAGACCCAAUUCCCGUUGGACCUGAAGAUGGUGGUAGGCCGCAAGGGACGCCCAAUGCUGCUGAUGGGUGGCCACGCCUUUUUCCGCAACAACACCCACAAAAGCAAAACCUACUGGCUGUGUGCCAAGAGCCGUUCGCUGAAGUGUCGCGCCCGAAUCAUCACCCUGGACGGCAGUGCCGGACUGAUCCUCAAGAAUCAGAUUCAUAAUCAUCCAGCGGCGUUGGAAAGGUCCUAGGCGAGGAUAAGAGUUAUCGAGUUCGUGCUGUGACAUAACGUCACAGUACUUGAACAAAAUUUUGGUUUUCUCUAUAUAAUACGUUGUGUAGGCCAGUGUUGGGAAUACUCACUUGUAAGAGUGAUAAUCACUUGCUUCUAUCUCAGUCCAGAAUCAUACUUUAAAAAAAUAAUGUUUGAAGGGCUUUUAGAUUGUAGUUUAAUCUAAAAGUUUGCCGAAUAAAGUAAAGGUCGCAGACGCAUACCAAAAUUGUGAGAGAGCUGUGAGUACGAGGUGAGUAAAAUUCGUGUAAUGUAUACUCACCUUGUGCUCACAGCUCUCUCAUAAUUAUGGUAUGCGUCUACGAGCUUUACUUUAUUCGGUAAACUUUUAGAUUAAACUACAAUUUUCCCUUCAAACAUCAUUUUUUGAUAGCAUGCUUCUAGAAUGAGAUAGAACCAAGUGAGUAUAACUUUUCGCAUGUGAGUAUUCGCAACACUGGUGUAGUCAUUAUUUUCAGCAAUUGAGCGUAUUGUAAUUUGAAUUCUGUGCAAAUAAAAUGCCCGAAAUUGAGUUGAUCUAGUACUUCAAUUACUGAAUGGGCAAUGAAAGGUAAAUAACUUGCAAAGCUUCUGUUUGAGAUUUCCUUUUCUUUUGAAAUAAAGGUUCUGUUUUUGAUUGCACCAAUCGUGUUUUAGUUUAUCUCACUCUAGUACUGCUAUAAAUUCUACUAACAUGCUACAUUCUUUUUUCAGUAUCUACAGUUAUCGAAUACGUUACGGAGGAAAAGGUCCAAAAUAGAAAACCGAUCAAGCCCACUCGCUCCAAGCGGACCAAACCCAAGCACAACGUAAGCGAGAUUAUAAACAGUACCCAAGGAGUCCCCGUGGUGUACCAGAACACACGUUUUGGAGCGGCUCAGGUACUCUUGGAGGACAUGGUAUACUCGUUCACCUACACGAAGAACCAAAUAAGCCACUACAGAUGCAGCCGAUACAGGAGCCAACAGUGCCCGGCCGAGGUAGUUGUCAACAACAAGCUGGUCUACUAUCUCUGUGCUGCCCAUAAUCACGAUUUGGCUACCGGUCAGCAGUUGGAUGGUAUCUGCAGGUCGUAUCUAGCUAGAGAUGCGACGUAAGUUUUGAUUGGAUGUGGUUGCAAUGUACAAGAAUGGAUAAAAUUAUGUACAGCAUUCCUAGAUGGCCAGUAAAGAAUGCGUUGACCUGAUUCUUUCGGGGCCGGAAAAGUCACUCUCCGAUAUCAUCUAGGGAAAGUUGAUUAUAUCUCGUGGAAUCGCCUAAUUCUGUCCAAAUUUAUGUCAUACUUCUUAAAUAAUUUCAUUGGUAUUUCUAUAUUAGAUUGCAAUACUUACAGAAUUCAUAACAUGAUUAUUUACAUAGCUAUGUGAAGUACUAGAUUAAGGAAGAAUACAAAAUCAAAUACGGCACGGUAAAGGCUGGGUAUGCUGCGCAAUUCAGAUCCCAUUGUGAUCCACUAGCCUCUGCCCAGCAACUCCUAUCCCUACCUCCACGCGGUACCGGCCGGAAACUAUGAGCAACCUUAGGGAAGAUCGGGUAACCAACCCCGGUGGGACCUUUGGUCGUAGGCUGACAGGGAAGGGGGGGUUUGCUUCGGCAAACCUGAGCGUCUGUUCUCCAGGAGGAGCGGCUCACAACAGCGUCUGAUCCCCAUGUUAGGGGCGGCUGAUCUACGUCCGAGUGCCAGGGAAGGACUCUAAGCUCAACUGUGCACUAUGGUCCUCCGGAAAGUAGGGGGUUGGUGUCAGGCCCUACGAGCCAGCCGUAAAAACCCAUUGUAACGGAAAAUCAGCAACAGAAUAAUACGAACCGAGACCAACGGCAACGACCCCAGCGAACAAAAAGGACUUGCGAUUGGAAACUCGGUACGUGGAACUGCCGAUCUCUCAACUUCAUUGGGAGCACCCGCAUACUCGCCGAUCUACUGAAGGACCGCGGGUUCGGCAUCGUAGCGCUGCAGGAGGUGUGUUGGACAGGAUCCAUGGUGCGAACGUUUAGAGGUAAUCAUACCAUCUACCAGAGCUGCUGCAACACACGCGAGCUGGGAACAGCUUUCAUCGUGAUGGGUGAUAUGCAGAGGCGCGUGAUCGGUUGGUGGCCGAUCGACGAAAGAAUGUGCAGGUUGAGGAUCAAGGGCCGAUUCUUCAACUUCAGCAUAAUAAACGUGCACAGCCCACACUCCGGAAGUACUGAUGAUGAUAAGGACGCAUUUUACGCGCAGCUCGAACGCGAGUACGACCGCUGCCCAAGCCACGACGUCAAGAUCAUCAUAGGAGAUUUGAACGCUCAGGUAGGCCAGGAGGAGGAAUUCAGACCGACGAUUGGUAAGUUUAGCGCCCACCAGCAAACGAACGAAAACGGCCUACGACUCAUUGAUUUCGCCGCCUCCAAAAAUAUGGCCAUACGUAGCACCUUUUUCCAACACAGCCUCCCUUAUCGUUACACCUGGAGAUCACCACAACAGACGGAAUCUCAAAUCGACCACGUUCUGAUUGACGGACGGCACUUCUCCGACAUUAUCGACGUCAGGACCUAUCGUGGCGCCAAUAUCGACUCCGACCACUAUCUGGUGAUGGUCAAACUGCGCCCAAAACUCUCCGUCAUCAACAAUGUACGGUACCGGCGACCGCCACGGUACAACCUAGAGCGGCUGAAGCAACCGGAUGUCGCCUCAGCAUACGCGCAGAAUCUCGAAGCCGCGUUGCCAGACGAGGGCGAGCUCGAUAAGGCCCCUCUAGAGGACUGCUGGAGUACAGUGAAAGCAGCCAUCAACGACGCAGCCGAGAGCACCAUCGGGUACGUGGAACGGAAUCGACGAAACGAAUGGUUCGACGAAGAGUGCAGAACGGUUUUGGAGGAGAAGAACGCAGCGAGGGCGGUAAUGCUGCAGCAAGGGACUCGACAGAACGUGGAACGUUACAAACAGAAGCGGAAACAGCAGACCCGCCUCUUUCGGGAGAAAAAGCGCCGCCUGGAAGAAGCGGAGUGUGAAGAAAUGGAACUGCUGCGCCGUUCCCAAGAAACACGGAAGUUCUAUCAGAAACUCAACGCAUCCCGCAACGGCUUCGUGCCGCGAGCCGAAAUAUGCAGGGAUAAAGACGGAGGCCUCUUGACGGACGGACGUGAGGUGAUCGAAAGGUGGAAGCAGCACUUCGAUCAGCACCUGAACGGCGUGGAGAACGUAGGCACGGGAGCCCACGGCAACGGAAGGAACGACGACGCCAGUGCAGCGGAGGACGGAAAUGAACCAACUCCCACGCUGAGGGAAGUUAAGGAUGCCAUUCACCAGCUCAAAACCAACAAAGCAGCUGGUAAGGAUGGUAUCGCAGCUGAACUCAUCAAGAUGGGCCCAGAAAAGUUGGCCACCUGUCUGCAUCGGCUGAUAGUCAGGAUCUGGGAAACCGAACAGCUACCGGAGGAGUGGAAGGAAGGGGUAAUCUGCCCCAUUCACAAGAAAGGCGACCAUUUGGAAUGUGAGAACUUCAGGGCGAUCACUAUUUUGAAUGCUGCCUACAAAGUGCUAUCCCAGAUCAUCUUCCGUCGUCUGUCACCUAAAACAAAUGAGUUCGUGGGAAGUUAUCAAGCCGGCUUCAUCGACGGCCGGUCGACAACGGACCAGAUCUUUACCGUACGGCAAAUCCUCCAGAAAUGCCGUGAAUACCAGGUCCCAACGCACCACCUGUUCAUCGACUUCAAAGCGGCAUACGAUAGUAUCGACCGCGCAGAGCUAUGGAGAAUCAUGGACGAAAACGGCUUUCCUGGGAAGCUGACUAGACUGAUUAAAGCAACGAUGGACGGUGUGCAAAACUGCGUAAGGGUUUCGGGUGAACUAUCCAGUUCAUUCGUAUCUCGCCGGGGACUGCGACAAGGUGACGGACUCUCAUGUCUACUCUUCAACAUCGCGCUGGAAGGUGUGAUGCGACGAGCCGGGCUCAACAGCCGGGGAACGAUUUUCACAAAAUCCGGUCAAUUUGUGUGCUUUGCGGACGACAUGGACAUUAUCGCUAGAACAUUUGGAACGGUGGCAGAACUGUACACCCGCCUGAAACGCGAAGCAGCAAAGGUUGGACUGGUGGUGAAUGCCUCAAAAACAAAGUACAUGCUGGUAGGCGGAACCGAACACGACCGGACCCGUCUGGGUAGUAAUGUUACGAUAGACGGGGAUACUUUCGAGGUGGUGGAGGAAUUCGUCUACCUCGGAUCCUUACUGACGGCUGACAACAACGUGAGCCGUGAAAUUCAGAGGCGCAUCAUCAGCGGAAGUCGGGCCUACUACGGGCUCCAGAAGAAACUGCGGUCGAAAAAGAUUCACCCACGCACCAAAUGCACCAUGUACAAAACGUUAAUAAGACCGGUAAUCCUCUACGGGCACGAGACAUGGACCAUGCUCGAGGAGGACCUACAAGCACUCGGAGUUUUCGAGCGACGCGUGCUAAGAACGAUCUUCGGCGGUGUGCAGGAGAACGGUGUGUGGCGGAGAAGGAUGAACCACGAGCUCGCUGCACUUUACGGCGAACCCAGCAUCCAGAAGGUGGCCAAAGCCGGAAGGAUACGGUGGGCAGGGCAUGUUGCAAGAAUGCCGGACAACAACCCUGCAAAGCUGGUGUUUGCAACGGAUCCGGUUGGCACAAGAAGGCGUGGAGCGCAGAGAGCACGAUGGGCGGACCAGGUGGAGCGUGACUUGGCGAGCAUUGGGCGUGACCGAGGAUGGAGAGCGGCAGCCACAAACCGAGUAUUGUGGCGUACUAUUGUUGAUUAUGUCUUGUCUUAAUGAUGUGGAACAAAUAAAUUUAAACAGUAUUGAAUUGACAUUUCAUCAGCGAGAACUGUCACUCUAACGCAACAAUCUUUCCAGAGGACCGUGAAAUCACCUUCAUUGUGGGAAGACUCGGCAACAUGCAGUUGAUCAUCGACGGCCACCUGUACACCCGGUCUCAAAUCAGGGAACGCAUCAUCAUUUGGCACUGCUCUCGGCAAAGAUCUGGAUGCAAAAGUCGGAUCAGCACCCUGCGAGGCGAACCGGGAACGGCCUACUCCUUUCGUGAGGACCACAAUCACGAGAGCAAAUUUGACUUCAAAAAUAGGGACAUUAAGGUUCUCAAGGUGGCCAAACUGUUGAUUGUUGGCAAAAACCGUUAGAUUGCGUUGAUUUUAAUUUCAGACUAAACAAUAAAAUAGAAAUUAGUUUUUCGUAACUUUGGUCUUGAUUCUGUUGGACACUGUUUUAAAUGAAAAUUUUUGGAAAAAAUAGUUAAAAAAUUAUAAAUUUCACUAACCCAUAAAAAUGUUCAUUGCAGAUAAUAAAUCUGAUGAAAGUAAUAUCUACGUCGUGUGCACCGCCGAAGGGGAGUACAAGAUUCAGGAGAAACCUGCAGCUAGACAAACAAAAACUACCAAAACUCCAUUCAAGGCUUCGUCGCCGAUGCGGGUUGUUUGCAUUCUAGGCGGAUUCACAUUUCCAAUCUCCGAUGGCGAUGAAGUGGAACGAUUGGAAAAAACCAUAUCGGAACGGGCCGACAUUCGCGAGGAAUAUGUAAAAUUGUUGAAGCGCAAAUCGAAACAUAUCAAACUAUUCCAAUUUAUGCCGUCAGUUUUCUCGGAUGAAGCUCUGGAAGGAUAUAACUUCAAUGGAGCAAACGUGCUUGGUAGGCGCAAGAUCGCCAUGAAAGGUUACAAUAUUUUCAGCAGUUGUUUCAUGGAUGCUUACGAAUCGGAAGGGCUAACCAUGGAAGAACUAGCCAACCAGAUAACCACGGCCAUCAAGCAGACUCGUAACAGAAUACGCCAGCGUACCUUCCGGGCGAAGAGAUCUAUCAAGAAGAUGUUGGAAGAUAAAUCGGAACACUAGCUGGUUGUGUUAGUUCUGGAGUAAACUUGAAAUUUCACCGAUAACCCAUUGGAACUGUUGUAGGAAAGAGUUAGUUCAGUACUCGAUUAGAUUCAUACGUGACCGAUUAUGAUUUUUGUGCUUACUGUUUGAUUGGAACAAAUCAACUUGAUAUUUCUCAUGCAAACAAUAUAAAAACAAUCAUGAUUCUUGUACACAUUGUACAAAUAAAGUUAUUAUUUUGUCAAAUAAAUAAAUAAGUUAAAGAUAGAGCUAGUAGGAAACAGAGAAAAAAAACUAAAUGACAAUAAUAUCUGAAUUAAGUUGUAGAACACUGCGAGACGGCAUAGCUUUAUUUUUAAUCUAGUACCUCAUUUAUGCAACAUCAAACCACUUCAAACUGUUUUCUCUAUUCAAUAGAAAUAGUCGUGGAGGACAUAAAGCUGGAAAGCAUUCCCAUCCAAGUGGAUUCUACACUUCCAGCUAGCGGUAAUGCAGUACUAGAACAAAUAGCAGAAUCUCACAAAGAUGAGGAUAUAAAGUUGCAUAAAGUAGACCCACGUGUACAUGAAAAUGCGGCCGGCAAACCACUCCAUAUGCAGCUUAAAAUCAGCCCCAAAAAGCGACGUCCUCCGAGUAGAAAGCAAUCUAAAUUGCUCCGCGUGGCUGGAUUUGAAUUUCCUCUGACAUGUGAAGAAGAUGUCGACCGGUUGGAACUGAUGGUCAAACGGAAUCCUAACAUCAGAAACCAAUAUAUCAAAUAUCUGGCAGCCAAUAAACUCCCAAACAUGGAGAUUGCUCACAUCCUUUACCGAUUUUUCAACGACGAAGCCCUCUCAAAUUUCAACUGGACUGGCCAGGAACGGUACGACUCUAGUGCUUUGGGUAAAAAGAAAGCCAUGCAAAAGCUCGACAUUUUCAAUUCAUGUAUGCUAGAAGCGUGGUCCAGUCAUGGUGUUACACAGGACGCUCUGGCUGGUUCGCUGAAGAAAGCUGUGCAGCUGGUUGCUCGACGGCGGUACAAUCUCAUCUACAAUCAGCGGAAACGAAUUCAAACGCUGGAUCCCGAACACUGACGUUUUCCAGUGGAGGUCGUGACAUGACACAGCUUCAUACACAGUUAUCAUUUAACUAAAAUUUUCUUCUAAUCUAGUACCUCUGCUGAGUUUUACCUUCUUAUAUUUUGAUCGUAACUAGAAAAAUACAAUAUAUUUCUUUUUGAUAUAGAUCUUCACACGUUCCAAUCGUUUUCAGCUGACAAAUUCUUCAACGAAAAUUUCUUUCAAUUUUAUACAACUAAGUUUUUUUGUUACCCUUACAGCAACUACUGGGAACAAAAUGGAAACGUCUACCACUUAUCCGAAAAUUGAAAUCAUCUCUCAAAUACGAUUGCAUCCACCACAAGAAAAACCAACGAUUUCGCGACUGCACGGUUUACUGAGAAGAUCUAGCGCAGAAGGGGCAUCUGGAAAAGUUCCAUUGUACAGCGGCAGCGACAUCUACAUAGCAAUGGAGGACCUGGUAAAAAUCUAUUCUCUCUACACUGCCCGACUGCUGGACAUAAUAUUCGGUAGAGAGAUACUGGUGGGUGCUUGCACUAGACGACUGGUGGAUGAUGGUGAUUUGGAACAACUGGAUUCUCAUAAACUGCGAUCUGUGAUUGGUAAGGGCGUUUCUCGGCCUGUUGGGUAGUACCAGAUAGGUAUUCAAUCAACACUUUUUUUUUGUUUGCAGUGCAUGUGAUUAAUGUUUUCAAAAAACAAAACAUUGAAAUAUCAGAGUCGACUGUAUUGGAAUACGUUCAUCAUCGGCUUUGCUUCCUAAAUCAAGUGAAAAGGGAGUAGUUGUGUAAAAGCAGGCUGUUUGAUCGAAAACUUUACUAGUACUUUAUCAGUACAACUUUCUGGUGCAAUAUUUAAAAAAAAAUGAUUCGAUUUGUAUGGCUUCAUACAAAUCGCUGCACUUUUUCAACUUACUAACAUUGUUCUUCUUUAUAGAUCAGCGUAAUCUGAAACAGGCAUUAAUGGUUAUCAACGUUCCAUGGAAUCGAAAACAGUAUUGAAUUGUUGAUUUCGAGGAAAUAUAUAAAAUUUAAAAAAUCAAUGAAUCUUAUACUUCUUUACAUAAAUUGAGCCAUUUCUACCACUUGAUGUAUUCUAAAGUAACCGUUCUUGUAUCGUUAUGCGUUUCCAGGCUCCCCUAAACUCCGGGCGGCCAAGUUUGGUUACACCCAGAAGGGAAGGGCAAUGCUGCUGUACAACGGAUAUGCCUACAUCAAAGACCGCCAGGCUCAGAAGAGCUGCAACUGGAAGUGCUCUUUGUUCGGAAAGCUGAAAUGCCGAACCAGGGCCGUCACGAAGGAGGUUAACGGGCGGCAGAUGAUGAAAAUCACCAAAUCCCUGCAUAACCACACUCGCGAUGUGUACUCGUUUGAUAAGUGUAAAAAAUCUAAAGAAUAAGUUUCUGGCAAAAAUGUCAGAUGUUCUUUUACAAUGAAACAUAAGCAAACUUUUUAUUGUAUCUGUAAUCAACUUAGAAUUACGUUCCAAAAAUUAUCAUAAUAAUAAAAUGUACUCUUCUAUAACUUAUGUAUACAUUCUAGUACUUCAUGUCUUAAGACAUUGUUUCGAGUAUAUUUUUGGUUGUAUUCUAUGCCUUCCUUGUCCUCAUUAUCACUUAUUUUUCUCUCUCAGAGAUUGAAUGAUAUCGGGUCUUCGUUUGGUAAAUGUAGUACCAGAAUACUAAGUGCAGACAAACUGAAACCUAAUUGAUACGACACGAGUGAGUCACUAACACUUUUAUCUGUAUCCCCAACAGGAAACGUAAUCUAUGUACUGUCGAAGCGUGGCAUCAAGCAUCUGUUUCACGAUGGAAACACCUACACUCUAAAUGAGCGACCCUACCCAGGGCAGCGGUCCCGAACGUGGAAAUGCUCGUUGUACUACCGGCUCAAGUGUCGCGCCCGCAUUGUCACCACUGAAGCCGAUGGGCUUCCCAAGCUGUGGGUGGUCGUUGCUGAGCAUACCCACUCGAAAGUGUUCCCCAAUUUAAGCCAUAAAUUUCGCAGUUUGUUCUAGUGAGUUGAACAAAUUUGACAAUCUAGUCUUUUAUUCAAGGAUCUCAAUGUUUUAUAAGUAAACAACCAUGCAUGCUUUAAGAGCAUUUUUUACAAUAGGAAUGAUGCGGAUUGUUCGUAAAUCUACUUUUUUUUAUUAUAUUCCAGUUAUUCAUAAUAUAUAGGUAUUCAGUAGAGUGCGUCUGAUGGAGUACUAGAUUUGUAGUCAUGAGCUAUAUAAUGUCCAUGAUGUUUACACUGUUUCAUUGCAGAAAAGAAGAAUUUCUCAUCUCAUCAUACAAACAUCCAGCUCAGUACCAUACAUCUAGUACCACAUCGAUCCUGCCCUACAGGUGUAGUUUGCAGUCAAAACUUUGCAGGCACAUGGUAGGAUGGCACAUAUUUCCCAAAUGGAGGAGAACGUGCCUCUGGAGCCUAUCUACUGAUAGGCUCUGGCUACGCAUAUUGUAUUUUCAUUAUAUAAUAAGAAGUUCUAGAUACUGGAUACCGUCACUUUCAGAAUAUCACAGUUCUUUGGUUGAUUUGCCAUAUGUUUCAAUUACAUAGUUCUUUUUGCUACAUUGUAUCAGUAAACGUAUCAUGCUUUAACGACUAAUUUAUACCAUUGCAGAUAUUGUUUUCGUGGUGAAUAACGUGGGUGGCCUUCAACUCUGCGUAGAUGGAUAUCCCUUCAUCCGAUCGAGGACAAUCGACGAAGUUCAGUAUUGGACGUGUAACCAAAGAAAACGACUAGGCUGCCCGGUUCGUGCCUCCGUACGUCGUCGAGAGAAAGGACAAAAACCUCUGGUUAAGCUGAGUGGAUGUCACAACCAUCUGAUCAUCACGGAGCGCCAGAGAUAUGGAGAGAGUUCCAUGCUAAUGCAAACAAUCGCACGUGGACGCCAAGUUGUAGCAGAGAAAAGGAAACGUGCCACUUCGAAGCAAAGGCGAGCAGCAGCAACGGAAUAGUGUUUUUUUUUAUUUGAAGAAUAAACAUUUGAGAGAAGCUUCGUCAUAGAGUUCUAGUACUACAUUGAUUUGUUUCGACCUUUGUGAUUUGAUCUUAAACGACGAAAAGUUAAAUGAAUAGUUUCUUACAAGACACACAGUUUAAAAUCUGGUACAAUUCAUCAGUUUGUAUAAAUAUUCUUGUUAGUACAAGCCGUCGUAACUAGUUUAUAAAUAAUGUUAACAGUUGUUUCAAUAGUUCUCAAUAGUUACAUUUGUUUCUUUUCAUGCCUCCUCAGUCAAACGAAGAUAUGCCGGAGCACAGAUCGAGUACCGAGGCGGAGACGUGACGUUUUCGCCGAGCUGCCGCGGUAUGCCAAAAAUGACUCUGGAAGGGUACGUCUACAUUCGCAAUGCUGGCAAUGCCACCAAAACGUACUGGCUUUGUGAGCGUGGUAAGCGAUUCAAGUGUCGCGCCCGUGCGAUAACGUACCGAGGCACGGGGCGUAUUACCAUCAACGAGCAUUCCCACAACCACAUGCCGGGAUUUUAGGAUAAAAACUCGAAUUAGUGGAAUAAAUUCAAUGAUAAAUUA
Aedes albopictus (Asian tiger mosquito) is the source of this 17586-nucleotide RNA transcript. It is a transcript of the gene named LINE-1 retrotransposable element ORF2 protein, with no coding region annotated. The transcript is spliced from 16 exons. The record is from RefSeq and is a predicted model, not a curated record. NCBI's taxonomy places the organism in Eukaryota, Metazoa, Arthropoda, Insecta, Diptera, Culicidae.